Molecule: unclassified non-coding RNA, 191 nt
Filed under: uncultured Pezizaceae
Lineage: Eukaryota; Fungi; Ascomycota; Pezizomycetes; Pezizales; Pezizaceae
Description: sequence contains ITS2
Source: RNAcentral
CCCACCCUCUCAAGUCUUUCUUUUGUUAGGAGAUUUGGAUUGCUUUGAGGAAGUAUCAUUUUUUUAUGCUGCUCCUCAGAAAUUUAUAGGCAGUAUGGUCAAACCUGAACCAGGCGUAAUAAUUCUAUAAAAUCGUCUAAUGAAAGGAAAGCCUGUAUUAGUCUUUAACCAAAUUUUUUUUUUUUUAUUUU